RNAcentral lists this ribosomal RNA (508 nucleotides) under uncultured bacterium. Its description in RNAcentral is "bacterial SSU rRNA". It matches the Rfam family "Bacterial small subunit ribosomal RNA", at positions 28 to 496 of the family's 1533-position model. The record is from RNAcentral.
GACGAACGCUGGCGGCGUGCCUAAUACAUGCAAGUCGAACGCACUCUCGUUUAGAUUGAAGGAGCUUGCUCCUGAUUGAUAAACAUUUGAGUGAGUGGCGGACGGGUGAGUAACACGUGGGUAACCUGCCCUAAAGUGGGGGAUAACAUUUGGAAACAGGUGCUAAUACCGCAUAAAACCUAACACCGCAUGGUGUAGGGUUGAAAGAUGGUUUCGGCUAUCACUUUAGGAUGGACCCGCGGUGCAUUUGUUAGUUGGUGAGGUAAAGGCUCACCAAGACCGUGAUGCAUAGCCGACCUGAGAGGGUAAUCGGCCACACUGGGACUGAGACACGGCCCAGACUCCUACGGGAGGCAGCAGUAGGGAAUCUUCCACAAUGGACGAAAGUCUGAUGGAGCAACGCCGCGUGAGUGAAGAAGGUUUCGGAUCGUAAAACUCUGUUGUUGGAGAAGAAUGUAUCUGAUAGUAACUGAUCAGGUAGUGACGGUAUCCAACCAGAAAGCCACGG